UACGAAGGGGGCUAGCGUUGUUCGGAGUUACUGGGCGUAAAGGGCGCGUAGGCGGCCCUCCAAGUCGGGUGUGAAAGCCCACGGCUCAACCGUGGAAUUGCACUCGAGACUGAAGGGCUCGAGGACGGGAGAGGAUGGUGGAAUUCCCAGUGUAGAGGUGAAAUUCGUAGAUAUUCGCAAGAACACCAGUGGCGAAGGCGGCUCACUGGCCCGGAACUGACGCUGAGACGCGAAAGCGUGGGGAGCAAACAGG
RNAcentral lists this ribosomal RNA (253 nucleotides) under uncultured bacterium. Its description in RNAcentral is "partial 16S ribosomal RNA". It matches the Rfam family "Bacterial small subunit ribosomal RNA", at positions 524 to 776 of the family's 1533-position model. The record is from RNAcentral.